Molecule: ribosomal RNA, 443 nt
Filed under: uncultured bacterium
Lineage: Bacteria
Description: partial 16S ribosomal RNA
Rfam family: Bacterial small subunit ribosomal RNA
Source: RNAcentral
CCUACGGGUGGCAGCAGUGGGGAAUAUUGGGCAAUGGGCGCAAGCCUGACCCAGCAACGCCGCGUGAAGGAUGAAGGCCUUCGGGUUGUAAACUUCUUUUCUAAGGGACGAAGCAAGUGACGGUACCUGAGGAAUAAGCCUCGGCUAACUACGUGCCAGCAGCCGCGGUAAUACGUAGGUGGCAAGCGUUAUCCGGAUUGACUGGGUGUAAAGGGUGCGUAGGUGGGAUGGCAAGUCAGUUGUGAAAACCAAGGGCUCAACCUUGGGCCUGCAGUUGAAACUGUUUGACUUGAGUACUGGAGAGGCAGACGGAAUUCCUAGUGUAGCGGUGAAAUGCGUAGAUAUUAGGAGGAACACCAGUGGCGAAGGCGGUCUGCUGGACAGCAACUGACGCUGAGGCACGAAAGCGUGGGGAGCAAACAGGAUUAGAUACCCCUGUAGUC